UACGGAGGGGGCUAGCGUUGUUCGGAAUUACUGGGCGUAAAGCGCACGUAGGCGGCUUUGUAAGUUAGAGGUGAAAGCCCAGAGCUCAACUCUGGAACUGCCUUUAAGACUGCAUCGCUUGAAUCAUGGAGAGGUUAGUGGAAUUCCGAGUGUAGAGGUGAAAUUCGUAGAUAUUCGGAAGAACACCAGUGGCGAAGGCGACUAACUGGACUGGUAUUGACGCUGAUGUGCGAAAGCGUGGGGAGCAAACAGG
This 253-nucleotide ribosomal RNA is filed under the name uncultured bacterium. Its description in RNAcentral is "partial 16S ribosomal RNA". It matches the Rfam family "Bacterial small subunit ribosomal RNA", at positions 524 to 776 of the family's 1533-position model. The record is from RNAcentral.